CGGCAAGCCUGAUGCAGCGACGCCGCGUGCGGGAUGACGGCCUUCGGGUUGUAAACCGCUUUCAGCAGGGACGAAGCGACAGUGACGGUACCUGCAGAAGAAGCCCCGGCCAACUACGUGCCAGCAGCCGCGGUAAUACGUAGGGGGCGAGCGUUGUCCGGAUUUAUUGGGCGUAAAGAGCUCGUAGGUGGCUGUUCAAGUCGGGUGUGAAAUCCCAAGGCUCAACCUUGGGUCUGCAUUCGAUACUGGGUGGCUUGAGUCUGGUAGGGGGACCUGGAAUUCCUGGUGUAGCGGUGGAAUGCGCAGAUAUCAGGAGGAACACCGGUGGCGAAGGCGGGGUCCUGGGCCAGUACUGACGCUGAGGAGCGAAAGCGUGGGGAGCAAACAGGAUUAGAUACCCUGGUAGUCCACGCUGUAAACGAUGGGUGCUAGGUGUGGGGGGUUAUCGACUCCUUCCGUGCCGCAGCUAACGCAGUAAGCACCCCGCCUGGGGAGUACGGCCGCAAGGCUA
This 511-nucleotide ribosomal RNA is filed under the name uncultured Actinomycetes bacterium. Its description in RNAcentral is "bacterial SSU rRNA". It matches the Rfam family "Bacterial small subunit ribosomal RNA", at positions 376 to 896 of the family's 1533-position model. Lineage: Bacteria; Bacillati; Actinomycetota; Actinomycetes. The record is from RNAcentral.